This is a small nucleolar RNA of Echinops telfairi (small Madagascar hedgehog), 115 nucleotides long. The record is from Ensembl. NCBI's taxonomy places the organism in Eukaryota, Metazoa, Chordata, Mammalia, Afrosoricida, Tenrecidae.
AUGGAUUGUUAUAACAUCUACAGAUCGCACUGCUUCUAGUCUCCUAAAUUAAAAGGUAGGUAGAACAGGUCUUGUGAGCGAAAUAAAUUCAAGACCUACAUAUCUACCAACAGCA